AUCCCCGAGUGAACAAGAGCUAGAAAGGCAAGCUUAUGCUACUUUCGGAGAGCAAGUCAGAGUAGAACAAGGGUGGGUGCAAAUUGGCUUUUUCUUUCAAGGUUUCCGUUUUCCGGAGAGAAUGUUAGGGUUUAAUGUUCCCGGCAAAGGGGCCAACCCUUUUCUUUACCCACUAAGAUGGGCACUCUAGAGAGACUGCCAGGGAUAACCUGGAGGAAGGUGGGGAUGACGUCAAAUCAUCAUGCCCCUUAUGACCAUGGGCUACACACGUGCUACAAUGGCGUAAACAAAGGGAAGCGAAACUGUGAGGUGGAGCAAAUCCCAAAAAUAACGUCUCAGUUCGGAUUGUAGUAUGCAACUCGACUACAUGAAGCUGAAUUGCAUAGUAAUGGCAGAUCAG
This 400-nucleotide ribosomal RNA is filed under the name uncultured bacterium. Its description in RNAcentral is "bacterial SSU rRNA". It matches the Rfam family "Bacterial small subunit ribosomal RNA", at positions 995 to 1352 of the family's 1533-position model. The record is from RNAcentral.